Molecule: long non-coding RNA, 236 nt
Organism: Schistocerca piceifrons (Central American locust)
Lineage: Eukaryota; Metazoa; Arthropoda; Insecta; Orthoptera; Acrididae
Exons: 3
Source: RefSeq, a predicted model, not a curated record
CGAGUGAAGACACCGAGGAACUGGAUGUCGAGUGGGUGGCGCCAGACAUUAACGACGUCAUCGUUUUCAGAGCGUCUUUCGUGAAGACCUUCCCUGAGUUCUGGGUAGGUGUCGAGUCAGAAACUGUCACGGUCGGGACCGUGCAGAAGGCUUUCCACAACAUUGCUGCAUGAAGAUCGGAAAUGUAUUGUGACAGUGACGAGAAUGUCGCGUAAACACAUUCUUUCCAAGGCAAC